This 485-nucleotide long non-coding RNA is filed under the name Hordeum vulgare. Its description in RNAcentral is "long non-coding RNA (HVUL_LNC016150)". The record is from RNAcentral. Lineage: Eukaryota; Viridiplantae; Streptophyta; Magnoliopsida; Poales; Poaceae.
CUUGCACACUGUACCUCCUCCUUAUCCACCAUGCCGCACAGUCUCUUGGCCGGUUGUGGGCGUCGGGGGUGAGCUGGGUCGUGCACCGCCGGCCCUGGCAGCGGCGCCAGCGAUGACUGCUUCGGCCACCAGAGCAGCAACGCUGCAAAGCCGCGCCGCUCGACACCACCCUUUCAUUCUGAGAGCCCCGCAUGGCCGUCCCCCAACCUGCGCACAAUGUUUCUCAUCGCCAUGCUUUGGACAGCAUAGAGCGCACUCUCUACAGCCGCAACACCCGUGAAGUCCCACUCCAUCAAGAGAUUACCUCCUCGUGUAAUUACUCGGGGCUAGUGGUGAAAUAGAACCCCCGGAGACUGUUGUAGCUAGUCCAAGCACUGUAAGUACCUACCAAACCUCUGGCUUGCCGUAAUCGGCCCCGGAAUCGACCCAGUUUCGGCACCCCUCUCGCCCGCCUAUAAUUAGAGCCCCCGAAGUCCUUCUACAGC